GGCUAACUCCCCCACCCAAAUGUCCCCCUGGACUCAGGCACGGGCACAACCCCCUCUCAGGGGUUGACCAAACCAUCGAGUCCCUGGAUUCCUUUAACGGAAUACCCUUCACAUAGGGAUGGCGAGAGCAUUCGCCCAUCCCUAUCACCUGAACCAGUGCCUAUCCGCAACCUUACAAGUUGUGACGAUUUGUUACGCGGCAGGCGAAACCCAAAUGGCACCAGCCAAUCAGCCAAGUGGAGAAAAUUCCUGCCGUGCCCCUGUCCCUGUCCCAACGACAGACAACAUAUGACGGCAUAGCAAGCUCAAGUUCAACAAGCCCUAAAGUAGGGAGAGGUGGGCAGGUAUUCUGAAUGCACGCGCCGAAAGAGGAAGCUCUGGGUUGUGUGCAUGGGCAUAAAAAGGUCCCUUGAACCGUUUAGACUGCAUCCCAUUGGCCAGAUUGUACCCAGCUUUGAGGGACCUACCAAUCGGGUGUUGUGGCUAACCAAUUGUACCCCCCCCACAACACAGGGUGUCGGUUGUCCAGGUCUCACCGCAAUACGUGCCCUCUUUAAGGGAGGACACGAUUUAUCAUAGCAUUUUAAUCAGUGCUAUUUUUCUAGAAAAAGAAGUGCCGGAACUCACCAUGAACGCCUCCCUUGUUCUCUUUUAAUGGCAAUGGCACCCACCUGAGAGGUGCCGGAACUGAGUUCUGGUGAGUUCUGACUGAAAAAACCACCACCCUGAUUUUCAUUUUCCUCUGGUAAGCUGCCUUGUGAGGUCUUGCUGUAAAAUACACAAUGCAAAUACCAUUUCUUCUGUUUCCUAAAUUCAGAGGUGAGCGUGUGUUGUCAUUUUGCAGCGUCAUCCAUGCACACAAAGGAUGUGUGUCAGAAAGCUUGGGACCUGGCAAGGUUUCUGUGGCUGCAGAAACUCCUUUUUGACAAAAACCCUAAAAGCAGGGCUAGGUGGGGAGGGACAACCCAGAAAGGACUGAGCAUGCUCAGUGGCUGUGGACUACCGUAAGAGAUUGUUGGGACAAAAAGCCUAUUUUGAGGGAGGGGGAAUGGAACGGCAGAAGGAGGGCAUGUCUGGCUGGCUGAAACCUGAAGCAGGAGCAUUCUACUUUGCAGCUUAGUGUUGGGGAUCCUACUGUAGCACCCUGCUUGUGGUUAACGCUUAGCUGGAAUGAAAUAUUCAACACAGCAAUAGAGAAAUUAAAAUAAUAAUUUAUUUGUCAGACAAAAAAAUGAUA
This is a non-coding RNA of Podarcis lilfordi (Lilford's wall lizard), 1237 nucleotides long. The record is from the annotation of a GenBank genome assembly. Lineage: Eukaryota; Metazoa; Chordata; Lepidosauria; Squamata; Lacertidae.